This 472-nucleotide ribosomal RNA is filed under the name uncultured bacterium. RNAcentral describes it as "bacterial SSU rRNA". It matches the Rfam family "Bacterial small subunit ribosomal RNA", at positions 355 to 825 of the family's 1533-position model. The record is from RNAcentral.
UGGGGAAUAUUGGACAAUGGGCGAAAGCCCGAUCCAGCCAUGCCGCGUGUGUGAAGAAGGUCUUCGGAUUGUAAAGCACUUUAAGUUGGGAGGAAGGGCAGUUACCUAAUACGUGAUUGUUUUGACGUUACCGACAGAAUAAGCACCGGCUAACUCUGUGCCAGCAGCCGCGGUAAUACAGAGGGUGCAAGCGUUAAUCGGAAUUACUGGGCGUAAAGCGCGCGUAGGUGGUUAGUUAAGUUGGAUGUGAAAUCCCCGGGCUCAACCUGGGAACUGCAUUCAAAACUGACUGACUAGAGUAUGGUAGAGGGUGGUGGAAUUUCCUGUGUAGCGGUGAAAUGCGUAGAUAUAGGAAGGAACACCUGAGGCGAAGGCGGGUUGCUGGGCUGAUACUGACGCUGAGGCGCGAAAGCUAGGGUAGCAAACGGGAUUAGAUACCCGUGUAGUCCCUGAGCGGGCUGGCAAGGCGCAU